Long non-coding RNA from Vidua macroura (Pin-tailed whydah), 3792 nucleotides. RefSeq lists it as uncharacterized. The transcript is spliced from 5 exons. Lineage: Eukaryota; Metazoa; Chordata; Aves; Passeriformes; Viduidae. The record is from RefSeq and is a predicted model, not a curated record.
CUGAGAGUGGCAGUGGGGAGCCUUCGUCGGGCGGACACGGGGUGUCUUGGGCGGGGGCAUGGUGACUUCCCUGCCUAGGCGGACGGUGAGAAGAGCAGCCCCACACGGGCGCGCUCGCCCUCGUCCGGGUGGAGAGGGGCCGUGUCUCCUGGAGAGGGGCAAAGGGACACCGCCGCUGUAGCGGCCCCGGCGGUGCCCUCGCAGAGUCGGACCCCGGGGUAGAGCCCACCGCGGGGUGCGCAGUGCAAGGCGGGCUCGGAGCGCGGGCGGACACCGGGCCCAGCCGCGGCGGGGAUGGGCGCGGCCGCGUCCCGUGGAACCUGAGAAGGAAACCUGUUGGUAGAGCCUGAAACAUGGCCGAUUGCUUUGGAGGGUGAUCCAGCCCAGAUCUGUAUCGGGGACUGAUAGCUGAGUUCUCUACGAGGCUUCAUUCGGAAUUGCCCGUUUCUGAGGAGCGGGCGGUGCCCGAGCCGCGGCUUCGAGCUUCCAGCUCCAUCCAUGGAUGAGGGGAAGCUGUUGAUGGUGAUUUUCUCAGGUAUGGUGAUGGGACAUGAGCACCAGCAGAAGAGUACAUCCUUCCAUGGCUCCAUGCAAAUUGAAGGAGAGGACAAGGUUCUAAGAAGCUGGCGGAGCCUGAUAUCUUCAGCAGUUUUCUGAGAAGCGUUUCUGAAAAAAAAAACUUUCAUGUUCAUUCAGGCAGACUCCUAAUGUUAAUUAACUGUCUCUAAAACUCAGAAGCAGAAUAAGCCACUUAUCAUCAACUCUAUCAUGUUGCUCACGGACCCCACUGUAAGGCUGUAUGCACGGAUAAACCCUGGGAGACAGGAAUCGCCUGGCACUCAUUGCCGCAGGAAAGGGAAUCAGUGUGAUCGCUGGUUCCCAUGAAUGGCAUAGCUCCGCCAAGCCCCAAGUGAGAGCGGCCGAUCCUCCCACACCUGGCAUAACGCUGAGACACCGGACAGAAAACACUUCCCUCUUUCUACCUGCGCCUUCCAAGGGGCUUCAACCAAAAACACGUACACACACACACUGCCCGCAGGAAUGCCACCAAAUCUGAACAAAUGCUGCUCCAACAGGUAGGGGCUUGGGUCCACCCUUAGGACUGAUACUGGAUCUACUCAAGAAAUUGCAACCACGCUUUGGCUCCUCCCUGCUUCAAAGAUCCCAGGUGAAACCAGGGACUGUCGCAGCUGCACACCCCACACUCCCCUGGUCAGACCAAUUGCUCUCACCAGCUCGGCCGCAGGUUUUCCACAGCACAUUCCCAGACCUCUCGUGUUUUGGAGUGUUUUUUAUCGUGCUGCAGCGACACGAGCACAGCUCGAGCUGUUGUGUGCAUUCCAGUCCUGGUGUUUAGUCUGGGGUCUCUUUGUGUCCAUUGGCUCCUGCAGAGUCUCGGGAUGAUUUCCCCCUCAUCCCCUACCCCGCAGGGCCCGUGCCCUUCCUUAGACGCAGAGUCCUCCCCUAUUCCCGGCUGGCUUCCUACCAUCCAGGCCACAGCCUGCAGCUAGCACCUUGCACACCGAGCUACCUGCACCAAAGGUGUUUGUUGAAAACUCCAGCACGGAGACUCUGCUUUCAUACCAACACAUGCAGAGCAAAAAGGGGAUUUGUUCAGCAUCACGAUGUAACCAGCUGUUUACUACAACAAUAGUAAACAAAGACUUGUAAUGGAACCACAGCCGGUGUAAUUCCCAUCCGUGUUGGCAGGCCGGGGCUACAUUUCUGAAUAUAUAUUAGAAAUAAAUCACAACAAGCUCCAUUCAAAUGAAGCAAAGCAGUGUAAUUAUGAAUUAAUCAAGUAUGAAGGGCCAAAAAAAGGCUGCCCUGAAGUCUCCACUUGUCCUCAUGUGAAGAAGAGCUACCUUCUUCCACAAUUACACUUAAAACUAUGUGAAUUGCUUUUGCUUGGAGAUAUAUGAGGAAUUUUUUACUGAAAGCAGCUGAAAUUAGUCAGGAGAAGGGGAAGAAAACAGCCCUGCAGUCUGCACAAAGUGUGCCCACAAGUGUGGGCACAACCAGCCUCAGCUUGCUGUGUGUCUUUAAAGGAUUUCGAUGGUAAGGGUGGUCUGUGCUACCCGGGCGCGGGGGUGGGUCAGUCAGCACGGUUGGUCACCGCUUCCUCGAGUACUAUUUUAGGGACCCUGGGGUGCUGUGCCCCAGUGAUGGAGCCGGGUGAUGCUUGUCAGCCCCGCCGGGGAGCGAGGGCUGCGCGCGCAGCGCUCUGAUAUUGGCGUCCCUGUCGGGCAGCCCCGCGGCAGUCUGGAUAUCCUGCUGGGAAACAGCAGAGGGCAGCCCUGCCUGCGCCGCAGCGCGCCUCCGGGAACAGCGCGUCGCUGCCGCCACGGCCAGUCUCGGGCGGCGGGGACGACCGGGCCCAAACGCACUGCACUGGGAUCUGUUCUCGUCGGGCACGGGAAAAGAAAGGUAGUGUAGAACUCAACAAUCCUGUGUUUUGCUUAGGGACUGCAGUCCGUUGGUAGACGGGCGGUUAUUUUUAUUUGUUUUAAUUGAUCCUUGCUUUUUGAAGGUUUAGCCUUGUCUUCCCUGGGGGGUACGCAGGACAAAUGAUAGGGACUUUAUAGAUUCAACUUCUUAUGAGUUGUACAGCUCUAUUGUGUGCAUAUGUUUCUCGGGUUUUUAUUGCAAGGAUUGACGUUGCUUGCUAUGUCUGCUUACACAGUUUAUCUACUAUAUGUAUUUAUAUAUAAACUACAUUUAUUUCUGUAAUUCUUUAUUACGUGAGCAGUAGAUGGUGUUUGUGAUGAGCUAGUCAUAAAAUGACAUGUCAUUUUACUCUUCCCACAGGACAGAUUUUUUUUUUUUUUUUUUUUUUUUAUGUUGUGAUGUUUUUUUCCUGUCUGUUUUGAAGAGAUUCAGAUUUCAGUCAAAAAGUGAGUUGGGCAAGAUACUCCCAAAAGAAAGGUUUAGGAUCAUGACCCCAAUGUUGGCUAUAGCUAAGAAAUAACCAUGUGAGGCUGCAGGACCAGGUUGUACGUUAAUCCGAAUGUACAAUUACAGAUCCACUGCAACAGCUACAGUCCUUGUGCCAUCACUGCCUGAUAUACUUGCCUAUACAAUGCAAUGGGAAGUUGGAUGUAAAACUCUAAAACCAAAAAUAACAGAAAUUUUAAAAGGAACAAAUCUUGGUGAAUCCUUUUGUAUGAAAAAAAGUAUGCUUAUAUUUAUAUACAUCCAUUAAAAAUACUUAACCUACAGAAAUCUUUAUCUUUUGCAUUAAUUGAACAUGCAGAACUGUUGAUUGUUACCAUUCUCCAUCUCCAAAAUACAGUUACACCCUGACUGAGGUUUUUGUUAUAUUAUUCCAUUAGGAGGGAUAUCUGGCCAGCUGCACUGCUCAGGAGAGAUGCCACGGGACUGCCUGGAAACAAGUAAUUGAAAGUGAGAAAUAAAGAGCAGUGAUGCCAUCAACUCCUGGAACAUGUGCUGCCCUUGGGUCUUUGGAAGGAGAUAGGCUUAUUCAGAUUUUUUUAAAGGCAGUGAAAAGUCUUGUCACAGAUAACCUUCACUGCCAAGUACAACACCUCUGAAGAUGCUUUGCAACUACUUUAAAUGAGACACAUUUCUGGUUUUGAAAAUUUCCUUCCCACCUAAAAUCAAAAUUCCAUACUGUAGAGCAGUAGUCCCUAGUCCCUCAACUGAUCUCUCAGAGAACCAGGGGACUGAAUCCAUCCUCAGUAGAAGCCACAUUGGCUAACCAGGCUAUUUCUGCAGUUACCAGGUAUCUCUCCGUCAUCUGAACAAAAACCCCACAAAACCAGUGCCAGCAGU